GACGAACGCUGGCGGCGUGCCUAAUACAUGCAAGUAGAACGCUGAAGGAGGAGCUUGCUUCUCUGGAUGAGUUGCGAACGGGUGAGUAACGCGUAGGUAACCUGCCUGGUAGCGGGGGAUAACUAUUGGAAACGAUAGCUAAUACCGCAUAAUAGCAGUUGUUGCAUGACAACUGUUUGAAAGGUGCAAUUGCACCACUACCAGAUGGACCUGCGUUGUAUUAGCUAGUUGGUGGGGUAACGGCUCACCAAGGCGACGAUACAAAGCCGACCUGAGAGGGGGAUCGGCCACACUGGGACUGAGACACGGCCCAGACUCCUACGGGAGGCAGCAGUAGGGAAUCUUCGGCAAUGGACGGAAGUCUGACCGAGCAACGCCGCGGGAGUGAAGAAGGUUUUCGGAUCGUAAAGCUCUGUUGUAAGAGAAGAACGAGUGUGAGAGUGGAAAGUUCACACUGUGACGGUAUCUUACCAGAAAGGGACGGCUAACUACGUG
Molecule: ribosomal RNA, 495 nt
Filed under: uncultured bacterium
Lineage: Bacteria
Description: partial 16S ribosomal RNA
Rfam family: Bacterial small subunit ribosomal RNA
Source: RNAcentral